This 424-nucleotide ribosomal RNA is filed under the name uncultured bacterium. RNAcentral describes it as "bacterial SSU rRNA". It matches the Rfam family "Bacterial small subunit ribosomal RNA", at positions 355 to 776 of the family's 1533-position model. The record is from RNAcentral.
UGGGGAAUUUUGGUCAAUGGGCGCAAGCCUGAACCAGCAACGCCGCGUGGGUGAUGAAGGCCUUCGGGUUGUAAAGCCCUGUCGGGAGGGACGAAACCGUCGUUUAACAAACGGCGCUGACGGUACCUUCAAAGGAAGCACCGGCUAACUCUGUGCCAGCAGCCGCGGUAAUACAGAGGGUGCAAGCGUUGUUCGGAAUUACUGGGCGUAAAGCGCGUGUAGGCGGCGUGCCAAGUCUUGUGUGAAAGCCCUGGGCUCAACCCAGGAAGUGCGCAAGAUACUGGUGUGCUGGAGUGUCGGAGAGGAUGGCGGAAUUCCCGGUGUAGAGGUGAAAUUCGUAGAUAUCGGGAGGAACACCUGUGGCGAAGGCGGCCAUCUGGACGAUAACUGACGCUGAGACGCGAAAGCGUGGGUAGCAAACAGG